This 254-nucleotide non-coding RNA is filed under the name Halanaerobium kushneri. RNAcentral describes it as "T-box sequence". It matches the Rfam family "T-box leader". From Rfam's summary of the family: Uncharged tRNA acts as the effector for transcription antitermination of genes in the T-box leader family. T-boxes are found upstream of many aminoacyl-tRNA synthetase genes and some amino acid biosynthetic genes usually in Gram-positive bacteria. The record is from RNAcentral. Lineage: Bacteria; Bacillati; Bacillota; Clostridia; Halanaerobiales; Halanaerobiaceae.
UUAAAAACUAUGAUGAGAAGUAGUAAUUUUUCCUUAAACUGAAAGAGAACGGAAUCCAGUGGCUGUAAGAUUUCGGCAGUUAAAGAAAAUGAAGUCGUCUCUGAGUUUUGCUGACCAGUCAGAUCAUCAGGUAGUUAAUUUUGAUAAUCUGGAUUAAUCAGUAACGGCACAGCAGUCGUUAAUCAAUGAGUGCUUUCUGUAUUUUAGGAAGAACUAAGGUGGUACCGCGAAUUAAUUGCUCUUUCGUCCUUAAC